AGGAAAGAGUGCUCUAAAAAUGGUCUAGUGGUGAUGGGGGCUGGAGCUGGGCUCAAGUGGUAGAGCACUUGCCUUUCCCGUGUGAGGCACUGGGUUCCAUCCUCAGAACCACAUAAAAAUAAAUAAAGUUAUUGGGUUCAUCUUCAACUAAAAAAAAAUUUUAAAAUGGUUUAGUGGUGUCCAUCUGUGUAUAAAAUCAUUAAUGAUGCUUUAAAGGGCUAAUAAUUCCUGACAUAAAAUUUAAAAAAGGGGGGGGGAACUUUUGUAACUGUACAUGGGUUUGUAGCUAUAUAACCAAAAACAACAAAGAAAAUACCAAAACUAAGUGUAGAGUUUUUGUUCUUGCCUGUGAAUGAUCAAUCUUGUAGGUGAAGUUCAGAAGUCGCCACAUUUCUUUGGUUACUGGUUUAUUAUUUCUGGUUCUUUUGCCUCAGUCUUUCAUCAAAACAGAGAAUUUGUAUUUUUUUUAAUUAAACUGAUAUUACCUUAUAUCUACAUUUACAUUAACCUUUCUUUUUUUUUUUUCUUUUAUUUUGCAGUAUUGAGAAUUGAACCCAGGGGUACUCUACUGUUGAGCUACAACAUAUCCCCAGUCCUUUUUAAUUUUUAUUUUGAGUCAGGGAUUUGCUAAAUUGCCCAGGUUGACCUUGACUUUGUGAUCUUCCCAUCUCAGCCUCCCAGGUAGCUAGGGUUACAGGCAUGUACCAGCUUACCUAGCUACAUCUUUUUUUUUUUUUUUUUUUAAUUGCUGUAAAUGGAUUUUUUUCUCUUGAUGGUGAAGAAUUUUUGCUGUCAGCUAUGGGUUAGAAGUCCCUCAGCUUGAGCUAGAGUUUCACUUUGCUUUUCCCUUGUAUCUGAGAAUGACCCUAAUAUGAUGUCCGACGCACAAAGGAGGUUGACACAUGGCUUUUGGACCUGCGCAGUGAAAGAUCAGUAUUCCCUAUAGCUUCUUAGGAGGGCCUGGCACCUGCCUGCUUUCAGCAGAGGUCCUUGAGUGGGCUGAUCACCCGACCGUUCUUCCUCCCACAGUCGUGUCCUAACUCUGCUGUCUUCAGUGUCUUGGCUUCUUAGCUCCCUCGACUUGGGAACAAGCUUGACUGCUGGCCUGAUUGAUACCAAGAUUGGCGGAGAGCGUCUUCCAGGCAGUAAUUGUGGCACUAUCGCAGGUCUGGGUCUGUGGAAGGAAAAGGCACUGGCUUUUUAGACAUUCAGACCUGGGAGUCACAUUCUGGCCCUGCUGUGUAAUCUCUUAUAAUCCUGAACAAGGUGCUUAAUGUUCCCCAGCUGUUUUCUGUCAUGAAAUGUUGAUGGAUUUUGGAUUGGCUCUGGUUUUUGACUAUUACAGAUCAAGCUGCUGUACACAUUUCAUGUCCAAUUUUUUACGUAGAUGUGUGUGUUCCUUCUCUUGGGUUUUUAUCCAGGAGUAUCUUAGGAAGUUGUCUGACUGUUUCCAUGAUGGUUACGCCAGGUUCCAUCCGCAGGGCAGUGUGUGCAGGUCCUCCCGCCCUGGCCGCUCUCUCCGGCAGCCUUCAUUCUAGCCCUUCUGCUCAGUGCGAGGUUUCUUUGAGGUUUGAAUUUGCUUCUCAUUAAUGGCUAAUGAUGUCUGUCUUCUCAUGUGCUCAUUUGCUGUCUGUUGCUUUGGUAAAGUGCCUUUCCACAUCUUUAGCUCCUGGUUUUGUUGGAACACCUUCCCAAGUUUUAGAGUUGUUUAUAUAUCCAGAUACAAGCCCUUUCUCAGAUACUCAGACAAGUUCCAUAUCUGCGACUUGUCUUUUCAUUGUCUUAAUGGUGCAAUUAGAAGAGCAGAAGUUUUGAGUUUUCUGUUUUAUUGUUUUAUCACAGAGGCCCUUUAUUAGGCUGAGAAGUUUCCCUGACUUUGUUGAUAGCUUAAGGAAAGUAGGAAUGGGUGUUAGAUUUUGUUGAAUACUUUAUUCUAUGUUUAUUGAGAGGAUUUGAUUUUUUUUUUCUCUUUUAGUUUUUCAGUUUAAUGAGUUACAGUGGCUUUUUGAAUAAGUAUUAUUAAUUAUUCACCAGCCACCACAGCAGGUACAGCAUCCUGUGGCAUACCCACCCCGCAACGCUGCAGCUUCAUUCAGCCCUCAAACAUGAACUUUCAGGGGAAAGAAGAGGCAGGUAGCGUACUUACUUUAAGUGAUCAUGCCAAAAUGUUACUGCUAGGAUCUGAAUUUAAAUUAAAAGUCAGAUUCAUUAUCAUCUUUUCUUUAAAUAUAAAAUUUGUUUUGGUAGAAAUAACUCAUUUUUUUCAAGACUUUAUUUAUUGGGGAUUGAUGGUAAUUUGGUCCUGAAUAGUUCAAAUUUUAUAUUUGAACUACUAGGGAAGAAAGGGUUUAUGUGGUGGCACAUACCUGUAAUCCCCAGAAACCUGGGAGGUUGAUGCAGGAGGUUCACAAGUUCAAGGCCAGCCUGGCAACUUAGCAAGACCCUGUCUCAAAAUAAAAAAUAGAAAGGGCUGGGGAUGUAGCUCAAUGAUAAAGUGCCCUUGGUUCAAUCUACAGAACAACAACAACAACAAAAAGGUAAAGAAGAAAGAGUCUUUGUAACCAAAAUGAUUGGAUUAUUAAGACUAUAAGGAAACCAUUCUCUCUGAAGGGAACGAAGGACAUGCUUAUAAAAUCCACACGUACAGGCCUUUGAUAGGCUGCAUACUUCUGUAUCACAGGGUUUAGAAAACAUGACCUUGGUAACCAGUUGGAAAAUAAACAUGCCACUGCCCUUUAUAUUUACUUAUUGUAUGUUUGUCCCUCAGAAUCUAUCAGGAUUGUUUCCAGGACCCCCUUGGAUACCAAGUCUGUGAAUGCUCAGGCCCCUUUUAUCAAAUGCCAGAUUUGCCCAUUAUCUGUGCACAUCCUCCUGUAUGACUUCAGUCAUUUCCAGAUGACUUACGAUGCCCAAUACAAUGUAAAUGCUAUGUAAAUAGUUGUUAGGCUGUAUUAUUUGGGAAAUAAUGAAAUCUGUGUGGUUUAGUACAUAGGCCAGUUUUUUUUUGUUUGUUUGUUUGUUUUUGUUUUUAGUACUUUGGAUCUGAGGUUGACUUAAUAUUUGACUAAAUCAUACUUCAGAACAUCUGGACAAGGAGGUAAACUAUACC
Molecule: long non-coding RNA, 3109 nt
Filed under: Marmota monax (woodchuck)
Lineage: Eukaryota; Metazoa; Chordata; Mammalia; Rodentia; Sciuridae
Source: RNAcentral